RNAcentral lists this long non-coding RNA (1236 nucleotides) under Suricata suricatta (meerkat). Its description in RNAcentral is "lncRNA (ENSSSUG00005004441.1)". Lineage: Eukaryota; Metazoa; Chordata; Mammalia; Carnivora; Herpestidae. The record is from RNAcentral.
GCCGCACUCAAAGAGCUGGAGCACUUUACAAACCUACCUUUGUUAGCUCACUCCUAAUCCCUUGAGCCUCCAGGUAGAAAGUGGGAGGCAGCCCUUUGUGACUGGGUAUGGUAACAGGGUUUACCAAGUUCACAUCAAAGGAUCCACAUCAAUGCACAGGACCUUCAGUCAGCUGUCUCAGCCACCCUGUUUGCUGCCUUGGGGUAGAGAGUGCUCACCUCUCUGAGGUCUGGCUCCCAGUCCCAGAACUGCCUCACGUCCUCCAAAACUUAAUUUCCUUGGGCUUCUAUGAUGAUCUUCGUUGGUAAACCAAGAAUCAUAGACACGUCUAAGCACAGAACUCCCGGUCUGCCUUCCAACUAUAUCCAGCAUCUGACCACGUGUCACAGUCUCCAGGCAACCAAGGUGCAGCCUUUGGUGCCUGAGCCAGGAUCAGAACACAGGUCUCCUGAGUUCCAGGAACGUCAUGAGACCCACAGGGCAGUCUUCUGGUUUUAAGACCUAGCUCUGCUAUCGCCGAGGCCCUCCAAGGAGAGGCUGGGCAGCCCUGACGGGGACGUGGGGCUGAUUCUCCCAGGAAGAACACUGCCCAUCCCCUGUGGUCCCUGAAGAUCAGAAGAACCCAGCCCUGGGGAAACCCUUGGUCUGUGUCUCCAGCAGCAUUAGUGAUUUCCUGAGAGUGAGGUGAGAAAAGUCAUUUCACUUUCUGUGUGAAUUAUUCAGCCUCAAACUUCCUCGUGGCUGAGGGUUGAGCCAGAGAGGAAUGCUCAUCAUCAAUCAAGUUAGGAAAGCAAGAUGGGUGGCAAGGAAGAAGGGCUGGCACAGAGACUGAUUCAGGCAGCCAAACGCUUCUCCUCCUUUAAAGAAGAGAGAGAAGUGAAAUCACGUGUCUGUAUGUAGUUGUUCACAGUGACGCUGUUCACUUGGACCAAAAGGUCCAAAAAUGAAUGAGUGUAAAAAAAUGUGGGGUGUGUGUGCAUAUAUAUAUUUAUAUGUACAUACAUAUAGAGGCAUAUAUUAUAUUAUACAUGAAUAUUAUUCAGCCUUAAAAAGGAAGGACGUUUUGACAUAUGCUAAAUGGAUGAACCUCAAGGUGUACGUACACUAAAUGGAAUAAACCAGUCGCAAAAGCCCAUACACAAAAUAUUGUGUGAUUCCUCUUGUGUGAGGUUCCUGGGGUGGUCACACUCACGGACACAGAGAGGACAAUGUGGCUGGCAGGAGCAGAGGGGGGAC